CUAAGAAUCUUCCGCAAUGGGCGCAAGCCUGACGGAGCGACGCCGCGUGGACGAUGAAGGCCGUAAGGUUGUAAAGUCCUUUUCUCUGUGAGGAAUGAGUGUGGGAGUGGAAAGCCCACAUGAUGACGGUAACGGAGGAAUAAGCACCGGCUAACUACGUGCCAGCAGCCGCGGUAAUACGUAGGGUGCGAGCGUUGUUCGGAGUUAUUGGGCGUAAAGGGCGUGUAGGCGGCUUGAGAAGUCUGGUUUGAAAUGCACUGGCUCAACUGGUGCGCUGGGUCAGAAACUGGCAGGCUUGAGUUCAUGGGGAGGAGCUGGAAUUCCAGGUGUAGGGGUGAAAUCUGUAGAGAUCUGGAAGAACACCGGUAGCGAAGGCGGGCUCCUAUGGAUGGACUGACGCUGAGGCGCGAAAGCGUGGGGAGCAAACAGGAUUAGAUACCCUGGUAGUCCACGCUGUAAACGAUGUGCACUAGGUAUGGGAUACGAGAUGUAUUCCGUGUCGGAGCGAACGCGUUAAGUGCACCGCCUGGGGAGUAUGCUCGCAAGGGUG
Molecule: ribosomal RNA, 550 nt
Filed under: uncultured bacterium
Lineage: Bacteria
Description: bacterial SSU rRNA
Rfam family: Bacterial small subunit ribosomal RNA
Source: RNAcentral